This 3538-nucleotide long non-coding RNA is filed under the name Triticum aestivum (bread wheat). RNAcentral describes it as "long non-coding RNA (TAES_LNC000455)". Lineage: Eukaryota; Viridiplantae; Streptophyta; Magnoliopsida; Poales; Poaceae. The record is from RNAcentral.
AAUCACAUUCAUAAUACUUCAUUCAUGUUCAGUACACAAUGCAUAUACAAACAAUUGCACUCCUAUUCAUCAAAAAAUGUCAUUCAUCCAUACCAUACAUUAACAUAUAUAAAGAUUCAUUUGUUUUCUUCACUCAAGUUAGCUACAACCAUCAAGGAGAUACAUAAGUUGACAUACAGAGACAAGUUGCGAAAUUUGAUGGCUAAGAUCCUAACAGACCAAAUGUUUGGUCACUUGACCACUACAAAAUAUUAUGGAAGAGACCAAGUCUUCGAUCACCAAGCCAAUAUCAACCUCUGUAUGAACAAAAGGUGUCAACCAUGCUAUUUUCUGCCAUUUGUCCCUGCAAAAGAAAUUAUUGCCUUCUUGGAUAAAAGCACCAAAUAGGCAUAAACAUGAAAAACCUUUACACACUCUAUAGUGUAAUAAAUCCAUCAGGGCAUGUCACCUUUUAAGGAACCAAUGGAGCUGGUAUAAUAACAACAGGAAGAUAACUAAUGUCUGAAGCAAUAAGGGACAUACUUGGUCAAUCUUGAUGUAAAGUAUCUAGUAGUUUCUACAUAAGGCAAAACAAAUUUGGAUGUAAGCUGAAACAUAUGCCAGCAUAUAAAACAUUAAAAUGAAAAAUUAGUUUGUGAUGUAAAUAAGUAGCGUAGGAUCUGAAAUAUAUACCAGGAGCUGUCAGAAUUACCAACAACCAGUAGUUGAAGUAUGGUAAUAAUACAAUGUCAUUCCUGACAUGACUGGUGAUCCUAUUUUGGAUGGUUUAAUAUGUAUGAUAGCAAGCAAACAUGAAAGGAACAUGGAAAGUAUCAAUGCAUUGUUUCUUUUGCUAUAUCAUGUCUGAAUAGAGAUACUAAUUUUUGGACAGCAAGCUUGAGGUGAUCGCUGCUCUCAAACUACCCAGUAAAAAACCACAAAUAAAUACUCUCUGGAAAACUUAAGAUGUACACCACAACUUCUAUUUGGAGACUAACCCAAAACUCAACGUGUACCAAACAGAUGUUUAACCCAAAUCUUACUACACCAUAACUAUUAUGAGGUAACUGAACUGCUAGUUGAAACUGCGAUCAACGCUGGAGAUGUUGUAUCAUAUCCACCCACUAUGGCCAGAGUGUUGUAGUGGCCUAAACAAAUUGGUACUAGUGUACUUCUGUUCUUAGUGUAACUGGAGAAUCCCCUACAAGUUUAACCGUGGCUACCUUGGCGAAAGCUCAGGCCAUCUACAAAUAUACAGUGGCUGACAAGUGGGCCAUCUUACCUUUUUUAUUGUCUUUUUUAACUACUGCCACUGCCUUGCUGGUGGCUGCGAGGCAGCUGAUGCACAUGUCGGUGGGGUGGCAUGUGCCUCGCGUUGUGUGUAGUUCAUGUGCACAUGCCAACUCAUGCAGAUAAGUCGUCUGGACUGAGGUGAACACAAAAUGUUCAAGGUGUAAUUUAUUAAAGCAACGAGAAUUGCUAUGUUUUUGCUUCACGUAUGAAUGCAUACGUGUCCGCUUGCAUCCCUACACAUAGAUGGUUCCACCCCGCUACCACAAAUAGUGCAUAACCAAAGCGAACCUAAAAUUGUAUGCGAAGAAUGUGUCUAUAGCCAGGCGCGGCGGAGUGUGCCUUUCUGUCUAGUAUACUUAGGAGUGACACAAACAGGAUGUGGUCUGGCUGAAACAACAAAACUUUUAAACUGUCAGAAUGUCUUAUUUAGUUAAUUAGAAAAUUUUCAAGUUGUUAACCCUGAGCAUUUUCCUGUCAGCAAGUUUAGUAGCUUGACUGAACAGUUAUGUUGCAAUUGAGAAUAUUUGCAUAUAUAGAAGCUCCCUUCGUACCACUGAACAUAUAAGAUGUAGUAGAUUAGAAACAAACUUACUGAUCUUUGUGGCUAGAUCUUUAUCUGUACUAGCUCGAAAAAACAUUGCACGAAGGAUAUUCCAAAAGAAUGUUGGACAGGGAAAUAAAAUUCAGCUUUUUCCUCAGGCGACUACACAGGGUAGUUUUGCUAGCAUUAGUUCCAUACUUCCAUGAUAGUUGUUCCAGAAGUGCACAAUGAUGCUUUACUAGCCUGAAAAUAAAUAACACUUUCUUAGUUCACUCACAUAGUACUGAAUACAGAAUCAAAUUGGCAGCAGGCGUGCAGUAUCAAUAUCAAAGUGCCAUGUUGACUAUUAGCAUAAGCAGAAUUUAGCUGCUAUAGGUUUCACAUACUAACAAUUAAUUAAUUUGUAUAAAAUUCACCUUUGGCUCUAUUGGUUAGUACACUUAGCAACAAAUGGUGUGGUUUCUUUGAGAAGUAACAGAGGAACCUUACCAUUACCAACCAUGGUAUAAACGUUUUGUCUAAAAACAAUGAAUGAACACUCUUUUUUUCUAUUACUGAUCUAAUUGUUGAUAGAGAACACUGUAUGCUAAUAUAAUUACGCAGCCAUCUGAUUCAUGUGCUUAUAAUGCAUAAUGCAAUUAACUAGAUGCAUGUUACUUUUCAGUACGUAAUUGAACCACAAUUCCUAGUAUAGUCGUAGAGAGAACCACUCAUUUUAGUCUAGUGAGAUGUACUUCUUUGGGACUGGAUCCAGUUUGUGAUAUGUGGCGCAUUUUGUGUUCUUGGUAGGAAAGCAGAAGACAGGUCAUUGUUCUUCUAAAUGGAGGAAACUAGCGCAACCUCACCAUUGCCAGUCUUGGCAUGCCCAACCGGUCCGCGUAGUGUUCCAGCCAUAUUAGGUGAAUUCUUAGCAUCAAAAGUGCUAAUCUUUCUGGUUCUUCCUGCAAAGGGAAAUAGGAAGACUGAGACCCAAUCAUUUCAAAGGUAGUAGUAAUUAGUAAAUACUGAAACCCUGAGACUGAAUGCUGGAUAUAAAUGUGAUAAGAGACAGGCCUGAGUGGUUGAGCUCAGCUACAAGCAUAGAGUCCACGAGCUUCAGAACAUCCCCAGCAAUAGUCAAACCUCAUUAAAGUUGAUAACAAUUGCAAAGUUCUACUUAUGAGAAGGAAGCUAGCCUGAACUAAAACCAGUAGCAUGUUUCUAGAUAGGCACGUCACCCAUGGAAGAGCAAGUGAAAUAUAAUGCAUCUCGCUGAAUCCACGAAACACCCAGGCCAAGGCAUGGCGCACAAAUCUACUAAUUGUCGGGCAGUCUUAUAGAAACCAUUCUCUGAAACAACACAUGUUGCAGAAUACAUCCCAAAUCAACAACAACAAAAACAACAUUAUAAUAACAUGAUGGUACUAAUUGAGAAUGAAGAGUUGCAACAUAGUUAAGUGAAUAAACAAUGUAGACGGGACUAGAAAAUUACAAAAACAUAUAAUAAGAUAGUAUGCAACACCAGUUAGUAAAGUAUAUAUACUUCAAUUUGUCCUGAAAUCAACUAAAUACUUAAUUUACCCUAAUUAUAAAAUGAGUGAUGGAUGGUUAGCACUCUGAAAUCUCCAAUCUCCAACGAACUGACAUGAUCUUGUUCAGUUCAUCGUUGAGCCAACAAGAUUCAUGGGCAAUCACAUUCAUGGAGAAACGAGAAAUAACCUAUUAAGCAGAAAGGGGAGAGGGGAG